This 434-nucleotide ribosomal RNA is filed under the name uncultured bacterium. Its description in RNAcentral is "partial 16S ribosomal RNA". It matches the Rfam family "Bacterial small subunit ribosomal RNA", at positions 29 to 507 of the family's 1533-position model. The record is from RNAcentral.
AGCGAACGCUGGCGGCAGGCCUAACACAUGCAAGUCGAACGAACCUUUCGGGGUUAGUGGCGGACGGGUGAGUAACACGUGGGAACGUGCCUUUAGGUUCGGAAUAACUCAGGGAAACUUGUGCUAAAACCGAAUGUGCCCUUCGGGGGAAAGAUUUAUCGCCUUUAGAGCGGCCCGCGUCUGAUUAGCUAGUUGGUUGAGGUAAUAGCUCACCAAGGCGACGAUCAGUAGCUGGUCUGAGAGGAUGAUCAGCCACAUUGGGACUGAGACACGGCCCAAACUCCUACGGGAGGCAGCAGUGGGGAAUCUUGCGCAAUGGGCGAAAGCCUGACGCAGCCAUGCCGCGUGAAUGAUGUAGGUCUUAGGAUUGUAAAAUUCUUUCACCGGGGACGAUAAUGACGGUACCCGGAGAAGAAGCCCCGGCUAACUUCGUG